This is a non-coding RNA of Podarcis lilfordi (Lilford's wall lizard), 73 nucleotides long. The record is from the annotation of a GenBank genome assembly. Lineage: Eukaryota; Metazoa; Chordata; Lepidosauria; Squamata; Lacertidae.
GCCUACAUGGCUCAGGUGGUAGAGUAUAAGACUCUUGAUUUCAAGGUCGUGAGUUCGAGCCCCAUGCUAGGCA